This is a ribosomal RNA of Castor canadensis (American beaver), 120 nucleotides long. NCBI's taxonomy places the organism in Eukaryota, Metazoa, Chordata, Mammalia, Rodentia, Castoridae. The record is from Ensembl.
GUCUAUGGCCAUACCACCCUAAAUGUGCCUAGUCUUGUCUGGUCUCAGAAACUAAACAGGGUUGGGCCUGAUUAGUACUUGAAUGGGAGACAAAUCUUCAGAAGAGACUGCUCAGAGACA